This 22-nucleotide non-coding RNA is filed under the name Arabidopsis thaliana (thale cress). The record is from RNAcentral. Lineage: Eukaryota; Viridiplantae; Streptophyta; Magnoliopsida; Brassicales; Brassicaceae.
UGCUACAAGGUAUGAUGGAUUU